GGGCUAACUCUCCCAACGGGCAUUUUUUCCAUCCACAAGACUCGAACCCGAAUUCUUGCUUAAGGGGAAUCAAGCAUGUCCCACUUGAACCAACGUCCGUUGGUAAAGCUUCUUGAAUGUAAUUAUGCCACACAAACCUAAUAUGUUGAACCACCAUCACAACAAGUAAACCUAUAGAACUUGCUCGUCAUCAAAAUCACUUGCAUGAGUGUUCUUUGCAACAUUAAUAUGGGGUUGUUUGGCUGUUAUUGUUGCUUAUGAGGAAAGUGGCUUUAUUGACUCCAUAAGAACGUGUCUAUGGCUGUCAAAGAAGAACCUGACCUAAGCAUAGAAGAGUUUAUAUCCUUCAUACUUCACUCUCAUGAAUUAGAAUUUCACUAAAGCCAUUGACGUGUCUAAAAUUUUAUUGACAAUGUAUAUUGUAAUGUUGUAAAUGUUACAUAGAAUUUGUGAUACGAAGUGUGUGGCCAAUCUUCGUUUCUUCUAAUGAGGAUGGGUUUGGAAAAUUUUGAUUCUGACUUCUUUCUUUUACGCCUUCUCCG
RNAcentral lists this long non-coding RNA (542 nucleotides) under Lupinus angustifolius (narrow-leaved blue lupine). RNAcentral's name for it is "long non-coding RNA (LANG_LNC000053)". Lineage: Eukaryota; Viridiplantae; Streptophyta; Magnoliopsida; Fabales; Fabaceae. The record is from RNAcentral.